This is a non-coding RNA of Podarcis lilfordi (Lilford's wall lizard), 75 nucleotides long. The record is from the annotation of a GenBank genome assembly. Lineage: Eukaryota; Metazoa; Chordata; Lepidosauria; Squamata; Lacertidae.
GGAAGAGCUGUAGCUCAGUGGUAGGGCAUCUGCCUUGCACACAGAAGGUCCCAGGUUCUAUUCCAAGUGUUUCCA